UACGGGGGGGGCAAGCGUUGUUCGGAAUUACUGGGCGUAAAGGGCUCGUAGGUGGCCAACUAAGUCAGACGUGAAAUCCCUCGGCUUAACCGGGGAACUGCGUCUGAUACUGGAUGGCUUGAGUUCGGGAGAGGGAUGCGGAAUUCCAGGUGUAGCGGUGAAAUGCGUAGAUAUCUGGAGGAACACCGGUGGCGAAGGCGGCCCUCUGGACGGAUACUGACGCUGAGACGCGAAAGCGUGGGGAGCAAACAGG
RNAcentral lists this ribosomal RNA (253 nucleotides) under uncultured bacterium. Its description in RNAcentral is "partial 16S ribosomal RNA". It matches the Rfam family "Bacterial small subunit ribosomal RNA", at positions 524 to 776 of the family's 1533-position model. The record is from RNAcentral.